CGACAGUCAGGCAACGAGCGAGACCCCUGCGUCUAGUUGCUACCAUUACUCUCUGGAGCAGUGGAGCGAAUUAGACGGACCGCCACAGUUAAUGUGGAGGAAGGAAGGGGCCACGGCAGGUCAGUAUGCCCCGAAACCCUAGGGCUACACGCGGGCUGCAAUGGUAUUGACAAUGUGUUCCGAAUCCGAAAGGAGGAGGCAAUCAUCAAACAAUAUCUCAGUUAUGACUGAGGGCUGUAACUCGCCCUCACGAAUAUGGAAUCCCUAGUAACCGCGCGUCACUACCGCGCGGUGAAUACGUCCCUGCUCCUUGCACGAAUUCGCCG
Molecule: ribosomal RNA, 326 nt
Filed under: uncultured Thermoprotei archaeon
Lineage: Archaea; Thermoproteati; Thermoproteota; Thermoprotei
Description: bacterial SSU rRNA
Rfam family: Archaeal small subunit ribosomal RNA
Source: RNAcentral